Molecule: RNA transcript, 1226 nt
Organism: Raphanus sativus (radish)
Lineage: Eukaryota; Viridiplantae; Streptophyta; Magnoliopsida; Brassicales; Brassicaceae
Gene name: branched-chain-amino-acid aminotransferase-like protein 1
Exons: 6
Source: RefSeq, a predicted model, not a curated record
CAUGGGCUUUGGGCUGAACUUGAUUGGCUUGGGCUGUAGCCUUAAUAGUUCUCCUCUGUUUUUUUUUAUCAUCUUGCAGCCUUCUUUUGAGAAGGUACACCGUCCAUCCUUUCUUGAACUAGGCUUGGGGGGAACUAGUCUCGAUAUACAGUGAUCUUUGUCAGAUGGGAACACCACCACCAGUCAUCGAUGCAGAUGAGCUUCAACGAGAUCCCGAGAUUAGAAGCAGGCAACGUUACGCGGUCUUUGCGAUGAUUUGGAGAUUCCAUCUCAAGCCUCUAUGCUUACAUGGGAGGCUGGUCCUAUACCAGAAGGUGGAGUAUGGGCACCAUGGUGGUACAAGAGUGUGCACGAGUCAACUGGUUUCUCAUCUCCAAAGAAGUACCCUCGUACGCUCCCUUUUGUCACAUUACGAUUUGCUGGAGCAAAGUCUACCAUUUUACAACAUUCUUAGGAGCCACGUGAAGCGCAAGUCCUCACUAUUGAUUAGCUCCUUGGCUCCUCCUAGUCUCCCGGUUCCUGAAAACGCAAAACUUCUUGCAUGGGUUGAUGACGAGCUUUUACCUCGUGAGAUGGCAAAUGUUUCAGUUUUUGACUCGGUUGUACAAGGCGGUGACUCAGUAUGGGAAGGACUCAGAGUUUACAAGGGGAAGGAAGGUAUUCAAACUUGAAGAACAUCUUGAGCGGUAAUGACAACAUUCCAAAUGCUUACGAAACUAAGAAUCAAGUAGCAGAGUUUUCUUGUUUUAUAUGUUGAAAUGUUGGGUUAGGCUCUGGCUUCCGAAAGUGUUCCAUCUCGUGAAGAGGUUGUCUUUAACUCGUGGCAAAAAGGUAUUGUGUAACGAGAAGUUGGACCGGUAACGAGAACACUGCAAAACGCUGACAAGAAUCUGACAGAGGAUUCAGGUGUGCUAAUACCCACAUACCAAGGAGAUACCAAAAAAGAGUGGUGGUGAUAAAGAAGUGCGUCUUGGCUUUAACUUCUAGAAAGGCACUACUGGGUCAAACUAUAAUUUAAUUCAGCGUUCUUUGUUUGACCCAACGUGAGAGGCUGAGAAAUAUGACCAUUAAUAAAUAAAGCGAGCGACCACGUAUGGAGACUACACAAUCAGCAGAUUAGAUCUUUUGCCGUUUCAUUUACGGAAAUUGAUUAAAGAGUUCCUCGUUCAUUCACGUGAGGGAUUCACGAGAUAAACUGAAUCAAAGGCCAUGUUUGUUUAUCUAAU